AAUCAGCAUUAGAACGCAGAGAAAACCGCGACUUAAUUGGUACUAGGUGGCCGCCAUUCGACAUACGAACACGUGGCGAGAACAAAGGAUGGCGGCCAUCUUAAAACUCACAAAUGCGGUCAGCGGGGCUUACGCAUGAACUGCCUGGAUCUAAUUUUGGCACGGCAAACAUGCGAACGCCCGGUCCCCAUGGAAGUCCUGGAUGAAUACAUUCCCCUCCACGAAUCAAAC
This is a non-coding RNA of Pelobates cultripes (western spadefoot toad), 231 nucleotides long. The record is from the annotation of a GenBank genome assembly. NCBI's taxonomy places the organism in Eukaryota, Metazoa, Chordata, Amphibia, Anura, Pelobatidae.